GUGAAUUUUGCCCAAACCUGGGUGGAAACUGCAGGAAGGAGAUGUGAAAAUGGCUGAAGGUUAAGCAUGGCACAAGAGGAGUUUGAUAAUCAAAAAUCAGAAAUGAUGCUGCCUCACUGAGCAGGCAUCCCAUGCAGGUGGAAUAAACUUUUGCCAGUCCUGGAGAGAAAGCUGCAUGGAGAGGAGGGAGAUGGACCAUGGGGCCAGCACUGGGGCCAGCAUGUUAAAAACAAACAUGCCCCGGUUCAGAGCAGCCAGGGGUGAAGGGGUUUGAGCUCUGCCUUCCCCAGGCUCCAAAUCCUCCCCUGAGCAGCUUUAACCCUGCCCAGAGCUCUGCUGGCCCUCAAUUCCUCACCCAGGCAUUGAAAGGAGAGCACAGAAACCCACCCGACCCCAUCCUCCCCCAGUGCAGACUCGGCAUGGCCUUGGCUCAGGGCUCCACGCUCUGAAUUUUCCCUUUUUGUGCCAUUUUCCCCUUUGGGAGGUGCUGCUGGCGAGCCUGGCUGGGAGCACCAUGGGAGGCAGGUGAGGAGCUGCUCUGAGCACUCAGAUCUUGCCAGCAAGAACUACAAGUGUUUGCUCCAGGAAGAAUUUAUGUAUAAAUUCAGCAUUAAAUCUGGAGGCUACACUAGUGAGUAGCUACCACUAGUGUCUACUGUUAGUAAAUACUAAUAAUGUCCAGAAAACUCACAUCAGUACCAUGGAGAGGAAAAUGCAGGCAGCCCAAAAUUGCUUCAGGAACUCUUUAACAGCUCCACCCAGACCAGCUUCAUUCACUUUGGUUUGGGUCCUCUGAGAAAAUCCACUCUGUGACAAAGUUUCUUC
Long non-coding RNA from Zonotrichia leucophrys gambelii, 825 nucleotides. RefSeq lists it as uncharacterized. The transcript has 3 exons. NCBI's taxonomy places the organism in Eukaryota, Metazoa, Chordata, Aves, Passeriformes, Passerellidae. The record is from RefSeq and is a predicted model, not a curated record.